UUCACUCUCAAGUUCGAUACCCACUCGUUUUUCUUUUUCUUUUCUGAAGAUAUCCUAGUUUCAAUUUUGUUUUCUUUCCACGAGACAUGGGGUUUAUUUGGAAGUAGAAGAUUGGGACUUUGAAUAAUAAGAAGCGUAAGUGUAGGAGAAUAGUUCAUGGUGCCAGCCAUAGCUCCAGGGUAUUGGGAAAAAACCCCCUAGCAAAAUAAUAUUCACGGUACUAAAAGCGGAAUAAUAAUGUAGCACCGAGAUACGAUAAUUAACAAGAAUAAAAGAAUAACAAUGACACCAAGAUUUUUACGUGGAAGACCACUACAACACUCAAAAGAAAAUAACCAUCUUUUGAUAUCCCACCUCACUACAAUAUCG
RNAcentral lists this long non-coding RNA (369 nucleotides) under Nicotiana benthamiana. Its description in RNAcentral is "long non-coding RNA (NBEN_LNC011614)". The record is from RNAcentral. Lineage: Eukaryota; Viridiplantae; Streptophyta; Magnoliopsida; Solanales; Solanaceae.